Molecule: long non-coding RNA, 785 nt
Filed under: Triticum aestivum (bread wheat)
Lineage: Eukaryota; Viridiplantae; Streptophyta; Magnoliopsida; Poales; Poaceae
Description: long non-coding RNA (TAES_LNC004538)
Source: RNAcentral
AAAUAUUAGCUGCAAAUAAUCUAUAAUUAGGUGCCGCACCAAUGUAAUUUCAAAAGAAGAUACAUCGUGGGAGACUGUACCAUAAAAGGUACAAAUUAUAGACCACCUUCAAUUUUGGAUAAUAGGAGAAGAAAACGCUAAACUGGUACAAAAUGAAACUGAUCCUGCGGAUGUUCUUUCCAACAAUCUCGGCAAGCCUAAUGCGGAGAAGAUUCACAUGGAGUAAUGGCUCCCUUGAUAAUCACAAGUUUAAGAUCAUUUACGAUCUUGAGCUUCCUUCGUGCCCAUCCUCCUGGGUUAGUUCCCACGCCGAUCGAAUCUAAUUAAGACUUUGUGGUUCUUGGAACUGUAAGUCAUCAGACCAAGCUUGAAGUUGUGCCUCCUAAUUCCACCUGCACAACAACGACAAACCAUGAGGCAAAAAUUAAGAGCAUAAGUGUCGCAAGUUAUUAAUGUUCUUAACCAUCAGAAAAAAUGAAUCAAGGACACAACUGAUGAUGUCCCAUGUUAGCGAUCAGAAUGGGCAUGAGUAAAACUGAUGAUGACCCAUGUUAGCUAUUAGAAAAUGAACCAUCAGCAUGUCACAACUCACAAGCUGUCAGUAUUCUAAAUUAAGAGCACAAUGGAUGGUGAUCAAUGUUGCUACUUGCUAGCCAUCAGAAAAUGAACCAUGGGUAUGUUAGAAGCUGUCAACGUUAUUGACCUGAUCAGAAAAUCAAUGGAAAUAAAACACGGUCAGGUCACAAGUUGUCAAUGUUCUUAACAUUCAGAAAAUUAAAUCAAGG